RNAcentral lists this non-coding RNA (27 nucleotides) under Rattus norvegicus (Norway rat). Lineage: Eukaryota; Metazoa; Chordata; Mammalia; Rodentia; Muridae. The record is from RNAcentral.
UUCAAGUUAUUUUGUUACCGCUGACCG